Molecule: RNA transcript, 4928 nt
Organism: Rosa rugosa (rugosa rose)
Lineage: Eukaryota; Viridiplantae; Streptophyta; Magnoliopsida; Rosales; Rosaceae
Exons: 3
Source: RefSeq, a predicted model, not a curated record
CUGAAAUAGAGGUUUUUGCUCUUUUCUCAGACCCAUCUCCUCAAAGGCUCAGACCCAUCUCCUCAAACAGCCUUUCCCCAAUUGUAUCAAUUUGAAAUCUCCAAUUACCAAAAAUCCAGACGUCUUCGUCUUCCCUUUUUGCUUAGUUUCCUUUUCCUUUCAAUUCACAUAAAUCUAAUCAAAGAUUAUCUCCAUUCCCAUCUCCAAACCCUAAUUUCUCUGAAUCCCAGUUUCCUUCAGUUUCAAAACAAAACACCCGGCGUGACGAAACUGCUCUCCCUCAAAUUCACAUAUUCCCCACACCACUACGUUCAAAAACAUAAAGUACCUUGAUUCGAUUUUGCUCCGUGUAAAUUACAGCAAGGAUUUCAAUUUGAGAGCUCAAUUCGUUAGGGUUUGAUUUUUGUGAAGUGAAUGCUGUGUUUUUCUGAGCUCUGAAUCUUGAAGCUUCAAUCUGAUGGCGGCGGGGACAAUGGCCACCUCCGCCGGAGCUGCUGUGAUUCUGUACUACAUGUUUGGCCUGAGAGCGUCGUCGAAGCAGAGAUUUCUCCAAGUCGAGAUCGGCGAGGAGGAGGCUUUCUCGGCCACCGGCUCAGGCGCCGGCCACGUGGAUCGAGUCAAUAUCAACCUUGACAGAUACGCUGCGUUUCACUUACUCUGAGACUCUAGGGAAAUGGCCGAUCGGCGACUUGGCCUUCGGCAUUAACUACCUCAUGCGUAGGCAGGGGAAUUUACAAGUGGCGAGUGUGUAUGCUGGUAGUGAUAGUGUGUAGCUCAAAGGCGCUAAGAUUAUUGAGGAACUGAAUUAUUACUUGAAGCUGUUGACGCUUUGUUAUCUGUUUUCCAAGAAACCGUUUCUAGUGUUUUUAGAGUCCGACGGUUUCUCUAUGGAAGAUGUCCUUUUUCAGAAGCCCAAGGCUGCGGUUUCUUCUGAAGCCUGCGUUCACCAUUCUACGUGAUAAAGAUUCAAAAUACUUUCUUCUGUUCAUACGUGGUACACAUAGUAUCAAAGAUACACUGACUGCCGCAACUGGUGCAGUGGCCCCUUUCCACCAUUCAGUUUUGGAUGAUGGUGGAAUAAGAAACUUAGUCCUAGGAUAUGCUCACUGUGGGAUGGUUGCUGCAGCCCGUUGGAUUGCUAAGCUCAGUACUCCUUGCUUGCUUAAGGCUCUUGGUGAAUAUCCUGAGUAUACAGUAAAGGUGAAUACCAUUUCAUGAACUAUGCAUCAGACUUCUUUUUUCUAUUUCUAUCUGUUUUGAUUCUCCAUGUAUUAUUUCUUAUCUUUAUGGUGCAUGUUUUGUCUUCUUACUGUUCUUUAGCUUAACUUCUAGCGUUACAUUUUGUUUUUGAACUGACAUAAACUGAGUCAUUCAUCCAACACAUGUUCUAAUACUACUUAUUUACGGUUACUUUUCAACGAAGUCUUGUGACUCAGCAACCAAAGUGAUCUUGCUACUGAAUUAAGCAUGUGCCCUUUCCCUCAAUUAUACAGACUAUCCCUAUUUCACAUAUUCCUAUUGUUAGACUAUGUGUAGUUCUUAUUAUCCUGUAGCUUGGGAUUUCGGGUUUCAAAAGAAUUGAAUGAAUAAGAGGUGGUACUGAUAUCUGAAUUGUCGGUUUGAUUAGAAAAUAUACUGGAGGGUAACCAUCUGGUUAGUUUUGGAAAUUUGCUUUAUUUAGCUUGGGGUUACUUAAUGGACGAGGGAAAACUGAUUUUUUUGUUCUUUUUCUUUUAAGUUUGAUCCAGGGAGUGUUCAUCCUAAUACAAGUCAGGUAAAAUUCCUCUACACUAUGCUAACUUUUGUCAAGAAGUUCAACCUCUAUUUUACCGUUUACAGUUGGUUAAUCUCAGCUGUUCUUACGCUCUUUCCACUUUACAGCUUUUACUUUUAAUUCCAUUAUUGGCACAAAUCAUGCUAUUUGUGCACUUCGUUGAUGAAUCAGCAAGAAGUUUGUGGUCAAUAGUCAUCUGAAAGUUAUUUUUGAUAAUGAUGUGGGCCUAAUUUCAGAACCCAUUUCUGCAAUUCUUACUAUAAUUUUAUCUUUCUAUCUUUUAUUUUUCAGUGUACACGCUCAUAAACCUAUAAACAUGCCUCAUGCAUAUCUUAAACUUUAUCUCUUUAUCUUUUUCAAGUUUCAGAUUAUAGUGCAAGAUUAUGAAUUAUAGAUCAGAUAUUUCUUUUCCAAGCAUGUGAUUUUUUGCAUAGGUGACGGUCCAAUUGAAAACUAGAUCAAAUAGAACAAGCUAAUGAUGAAACAAGGUAUAGAUCACUUGCUAACAAGUCUACUUCUCAAAACAGGAUUACUUUUAACAUACCUUUGUUUUCUUUCUCCUCCCAGAGUUUCAUUCUCAUUUCACUUAGAUACUAAGUGCAGUGUUUCGUAACUUUGCUUGAACAGGUUCUGUUGGAUGUCUACUGAUUACUCAGUGGCCACUUGUAUUUUAUUUUUCACAGAGAUGGGCUAGAGAAGUGGAAGAGCAAAAGCUUAUUGGCAGUGGAGCACUGGAUUUGCAGGGACAUGCCUCCAAUGUAUAGAGCAACCAGCUGAACACACACUGUCUGACAGAUUUGGGAAUGCAUGUGCUGAUAUAUAGACCAUUAUAUCAGGUUCCUUGAUCUAAUUCAAUCCUUACUUUUUAGGUCUCAAUUUGCUGUUAUGACUUAUGGUUUUGACUGAGUGAACUUGCAAGAACUAAGUCAUUAUUAAAAUGAUACAUUGAGUUUAGGAUGCCUGAUGUUGUCAUUAUCGCUUGUUGUAUUGUGCUAUACUUCUAUUGUUUCUUUUUCCAUUGUUACAACCUCAAGCUUUGUUGCUAUACAUGAGUUUAUGAUGUUGUCGUUAUUGCUUGUUGUAUUGUGCUAUACCUCAAGUUUAUGUAGCAACAAUACCAUUGCUAUACAUGAGUUUAUGAUGUGUAGCAUCAGGCUCCUUGGCCUCACUCUUAGUGGAAUCUCUAAGUGGACCUAGCCUUGCCUCAAAGGCAAGGUGAACUACUAUACAUGCUUGUGUCACUAUCUCUCUCCAUCAUGAUCCAUACUUAGUUCCCGUAUUCUCACACAGAAACAUUGGCGCCGUCUGUGGGAAUCGAUACAAAAAGUCAUGUUGCUCUUCCCGCUUAUAUUCAUCUCGCCCAUGAUACCCAUCAUGCUUCAUAGAGGAGGGUCCCUAGGAGUUUGGGUAUGAACCUCCGACCUUGAGCAAGGGUCAUGUACGGGAACCACCAAUCAUGUACGCGCAAGACACCCCGCACCUUGAGCAAGGGUCAUGUAUGGGUACUACGAGUCACCGGGUACAUGGAUACAUGCAGGACACCCCUCACCUUCCUCACCCAAGCCUCCAAGGAGCCAGCGGGUACUACAAGUCAGCGGGUACAAGGACACCCCACCCUCAACUCUACACCCAAGCCUCUCCUCCGGGUACCAUGAGCCAGCGGGACUCAUGAGUCAGCAUGAUCAAUUCUUCUUUGAGCCUCAGACAAAUAAUCAUGUUGCUCAUCCCGCCUAUAUUGCUCACCCCGCCCGUGAUACUCAUGAAGUAGGGAUAAGUCCAAGCAAUCUCGUUGAUGCACACUUAUGCCCUUGCCAAACGCCAUCCAGCAACCAACGGGGCCCGAUUGAGUCUAGAUCCCGCAGGCAUGACUUGGUCAAAGUCUAAACCUGCUCUCAUACAACAGUAACAUGUCAUCAUCGGGUUAUCAUCACCACCUCACGUUACCGUCGAUUCCUAUGAUCUGAAAUUUCAUGAUACAGGGUUCGUGGACAAAAGAAAAGGCAAUGGGAGUGAGACAAAUCGAAUCCCAGAUCUUUUCCUUUUCAGUCGACAACCUUCGAUCAUUUCCAUGGCCCACCACUCCCACCACCGUGCUCAACACAAGCACCCCGGUGACCCACCUCCCGGCACCACACUCCGGCCCCCGCUGUGAAACUUAGCUCAAGCUCUCUCCAAGCACCGAAGAAAAGCCAUUUGAGCUCCCGGCACCAGCAGUUCCGGAUCCCGUGUUCACCUGCAAACCCUCUCCAAACGUACCCGAUCGCUAACACCCUAUCCCGGUAGACCUCUGCUCGGUCACCUUUCGGCAACAAAACAGUGGUAGCAUCAACCCCUCACUCACCCGAUACUUAAUUCAUCACCCGGAAGCUCAUCCUGCCAGCAGCAACAACUCAUUCCUCCUGAUGACUCAUCACAACUCUCGAUCACUGACGCACCUCUCUGAUUCUCACCAACACUUCAUCAGCCUUCUGUGACUCAAUUGCUUGCCGACAAGUCUUCUCCUUAUAGUACCCGCAACCUCGAUUAAUUUCCAGAACCUGGUCAAGCGAGGUGAUCCCACUCACUCAAGUAGGAAGGCCUCGUCUCUCUCAUCUACCGAGGGCUAUUCCAGAGAGCUUUGAUAUAUUACAGCAAAACUUUGUCAAUCUCCAAGUAUCUCAGUGAUGUACACCGUUACCCAAAAAAAUAAAAAAUUUAAACACCCAGACAAUUGCUCUGGGCAACUGGGACGCUUGUUUGGCCACCAACCCGAAGAGCACAGGCCACCGGGGAUCACCUGAACAGUUUUCGACAAGACACGCCAACUCCGAUGCAACAACCAUCCGGGUACCGAUCGAUUUAUUCAACCCAGAUUCUUCUUUGAUCGGGUACUCUACUUGGAGCGUGGCCAGAAGCCCAGAACUGUGCAUUGCUCCGGAUAGUAUACUCCUACGAGCAAGCAAAGCUAAGUCUUCACACUCUUACCAUUUCUCAAAGUUAUCAGUACUCAUAUGCCUGUUUGCUGCUCUUUCUGCAAUUUUUGCAUGCUCUGUACACAUCGAUCUACGUUUUCAAAAAUCAUGUAUCGGUGUUCAAAUAUAGCUGCCAUAGGUAUCUUAUCUCAUGAGGAUCGGAUGUCCACCUUUCAUAAAUUUUUAAACUAAACCACCACGUG